GCACUUCUGAAGAGUCCCACAAUAGGAUGAAACGGCCGUCCAGUGC
Molecule: non-coding RNA, 46 nt
Filed under: Schistosoma mattheei
Lineage: Eukaryota; Metazoa; Platyhelminthes; Trematoda; Strigeidida; Schistosomatidae
Source: RNAcentral